GGUUGUGGCUCAGUGGUAGAGUACUUGCCUAGCACGUUAAGGCCCUAGGUUCAAUCCUUAGCACCA
RNAcentral lists this transfer RNA (66 nucleotides) under Marmota monax (woodchuck). RNAcentral's name for it is "tRNA.Ala". Lineage: Eukaryota; Metazoa; Chordata; Mammalia; Rodentia; Sciuridae. The record is from RNAcentral.